Molecule: long non-coding RNA, 3441 nt
Organism: Engraulis encrasicolus (European anchovy)
Lineage: Eukaryota; Metazoa; Chordata; Actinopteri; Clupeiformes; Engraulidae
Exons: 4
Source: RefSeq, a predicted model, not a curated record
GCUGUUCAAGUUUCUGAAGUGAUAUGCUGCCGAAUGACAACACAAGCGCUGCGCGGGACUUAUUAAAACGAAUGGAUGGAUUUCGCUGCAGCGAUCACUCAACUGUCGGUAAGAUUUCGAAUAAAAUGCAUGAAUAUACAUAACGGUUACUUUACGAGUUGACUUUCAGUCGGAGGGCGAACAUUUACCUCGGCCCACCAACUAGCGGUUUUGGCUAAUGAUUUUUAGCUUCAAGGCAAGAUAACAGGCUGCCCUUCGUAAGUUUGUUUCAGAUGUUGUGUGUGUAUUUGUCAUAAUGUACAGUAAUAAGUUAUGGACAGACAUACAGUAGUUUCUUCCUGUGCUGCGUUGUGCACGUCUGUUUCAUCAUCUGAGCUAUCAGUUGUGUUUCUUUGAAGCAAAGAUGUAUAGAAUAGCACUGAAAGUCGGAGGUGUCAUAUUUGUUCAACCUGGUGUUAAACGUAAUUUCAAUUCUUGACCAGUGCAUGGAAAGAAAUUGUAAAUAAAACCGACUUGAUGUAGUAGUGCUAAAAAUAAACCUUUAUAUUUUCUCUUAGUGAACUUCUCAAAAUAUAUGGGCUACAAUGUAGAUACUACUUGGGAUGGGUUUAUCGUUACCUAUUGUUUCUGAUGGGGCGUUAAUUGGUGUGGCACCCGGAACUCUUCCUCACUUCGGCAAGGGGUAAGCUGUGUUUUUUUUCCUCCGUGUUACAAACUAUUUAAUGAUGUUUCUGUACUUUAAUUUCUCUGUUAUUUUAUUGAUCUUUGAUGGGAAGAUAUUCUGUUACGUUUGUGUUGAUAUUUUCGUUGUAAUUUUCGCUCAAAGUAUGUACAUUAGCGCCAUUAAUGUCCGCGAUCGUUAUGAAGUUAACAGGUGCUAACGAGCCUAUUGUGUCGCAGGAAUGCCGUUCGCUUCGACCCCUUGCAGUGUGCUUCAUUGUGUCCGCCCUGUCAGGUAUGUGUUAAUGUAUGAAAGAGAUCCCUGUGGUAUUUUCGGUGAUAAACAUUGUGUUUUCUUUUGGUUUUAACUUUGUAAACUAUACGAUCUAAGUGCCUUGGUUUCUCUAUUAUACUGUAAACAAUAGCUUGUCUAGCUGCUUUAGUGUUCUCUCACUUCUGGAAGAUUGGCAAGGGGAAAGCCGUUUGCUUCGACCCCAAAGAAUCUGCUUGCAGUGUGCCUCAUUGUGUCCGCCCUGUCUUGUUUCAGAUUGGGAAGUAAAUAAAUGCUACUGGAUCGAGGCCCCUCAUCUCUCCUGCCUCUUCAAUCAUCCAAAGACUGUUUAGUCUGUUAUUUUAAUGUACCGUAAUGGUCGGUUCAUGUCCGUUGCAUUGACUUGACUUGUCAUUGGGUCUGAUUUUAAAUGUGCCAUAUAGUUCAAUGUGGGAGCAGGUUCACACACUAAAUAAGACACUAAGGUCAAUUUGUUUAUUUUUCUCAGAGCAGAGUAGAGCAGAUGUUUCAGGUUGCUGCCAUCAGAGAGCAGUGACUUGACCUCAGUGUCUUAUUUAGUGUACUCCCACAUUGAACUCUACUUUUUGGGUCCACGCACCUACUUAUUUCUAAACAUCUAGAGUGCAACAAUACCCCUGCCUCCUAAUGUGCCAUAUAACCUGCAUCUCGCCUAUUGUGUGUGUGUGUGUGUGUGUGUUUGUGAAUGUGUUCACGCAGAUAUAAGAAGUUGGGAUUGGGGUUGAUGAUCCACAUGAUGGUGAUGGACCAGGACAGCUCUGGACCUCCUGACUGGCAGCUCCAUCCUCAACCUCCCUUCCUGUCCUUCACACAUGUGCAGGCAGAGAGGCAGUUUUCUGAAGGAUGGUUAAUGUCAGUACCAACAUGUUGUGAUGGAGGCUUCCACCUGAGCUGAACACAGAAACUUGCACACAGUGAUGGAAGCAGUCGUUCCUGUUCAGCAUUGAUAUGCCGGUAAUGGGUUUGAUGAACCACAGCAUGGUGAUGGGCAAUCAGCAUCAGGACCAGGGCCGCUCACAAGGAGAACCUCCUGCCUUGCCUCUUCAUCCUCAACCUCCAAUCUUCCUGCUCUUCACACAUGUGCAGGCACAGAGCCAGUUUUCAGAGGGAGGGCUGAUGACACCAGCAACUUCGGAUCUGAACCUGAUCAACCCAGCACCAACCACUGUGCCGCUCCUCCUCUGCCAACUGCACCACAUGGCUCCCCCAUCUCAAAAAGGCACAGACACUACUCCACUUCCUGCGAAGGAUGAGAGAAGAGCCGACCUCCCCACAACGGCACUCACCACCUUCUACAGGGGUGUCAUUGAGAGCAUCCUGACCAGCAGCCUCUCUGUCUGGCAUGGCAGCCGUCAAGCUGAAGACUAGAAGGCAGUACAGAGAGUGGUGAGGACAGCAGAAAAGCUCAUAAGAUCACCCCUACCUGUUCUCCCUACUACCAUCAGGGAAGCGCUAGCCCAGCAUGCGGUGCUGCAAAAGCACACUGGGAAACGGCUUCUUUCCACAAGCCAUCAGACUCCUCAAAGUACUGAAGAAAACCACAUGAAUAACCAAGGACAUGGGAGAAUAUUCCAUGAACACUUCUUUCACCAUGCCACUUACACUUUACUCAUUGCACCUUGUAUACAGCAUCUUCACAUCACCUGUAUGAACUUCUCCUGCCGUGUGUGUGUGUGUGUCCACUGUGUUUGUGUAUUUAUUGUCCAUCAGUAUGUUAAUCUUAUUAUUGCACACUGUUUGGGUGUCUGUGUGAGUGUAUUUAUAGUAUGUAUCAGUCUGUAUUUAAUGCCAAUGCCUUAUUUUUAGUUAUUAGUUAAAUGCACAUUGGAGACUGGUCAAACACAAUUUCAAACUUUGUGUUAACCCUCCAUAGAUUUUUGUCAAAAAAUGGAGUCUAAUCUACUGUACUACACAGGCUAUCAACAGACCACACAGUUGAGUGCUGUUUUAUGCACUCUGAAUAUGAGGAGAGGGAGAGGUGACCGUUCACACUUCAUAGUGUAAAAGUAAACAGAAAUAAAUUCACAUUUCAUUCCUGUCUCGUUCACUUCUUUCAGCAAUGUAUGUGGCCUACAUGCCGGGAAGCUGACAGGGGGGACAAAGGGGUCCGUUGACCUGGGCCCAGUGAGACGAGGGGUCCAGGAAUAGGUCCUCAUUACAUUGUAUGUAGUCUAUGUAUUGAGUGGGGGGCCCUUUCAGAUGACUUUGUCCUGGGCAAAGCCAAAGCUGUCAGCGGCCCUGAUUAUGUAUGCACAAACACUGGUUAUGAUGAUAGGAAAAGUUUUCUCUGUUUUCUGAUGGCCUUUGAAUUAAGACAGGCCAAUCUGGAACCUCUCCUGGAUAAAGUGUAAGCUUCAAUGGUGUGGUCACUCCUAAAUCAUAGACAGACAUGGAGUAUGGUAGGCCUAUGGUAAUGAAGAAAUCGUUUUUCUCCAAUAAAACAAACAAAUAGCCUAUUGCUAUUUCAAAUA